Molecule: long non-coding RNA, 98 nt
Organism: Oreochromis aureus
Lineage: Eukaryota; Metazoa; Chordata; Actinopteri; Cichliformes; Cichlidae
Exons: 3
Source: RefSeq, a predicted model, not a curated record
UAGAUCAAAAGUCAACUUCAUAGAACGGCCCAUUAAAGAAAGAGCGGUUGAUUAUGAUCAAACCUACAGUAUUGUUGUCUAUGAAUCGAGCCACAUUG